This 1439-nucleotide unclassified non-coding RNA is filed under the name Hevea brasiliensis (rubber tree). The record is from RNAcentral. Lineage: Eukaryota; Viridiplantae; Streptophyta; Magnoliopsida; Malpighiales; Euphorbiaceae.
GUCCCUUUUUGCUUUUCCAAUAAUCCUAUUUAAUUUGACCGUCUUUGUUUGCCAGGGAAGUUGCCUGGAAAAGUGGUUCCUUCCUGGUAGUAAAAGCGAAGUGAAUGCAAUUUUCAGGGGAAAAACAUUUAAUUAUCCUGUAAGCAUUUGGUUUUCAAGUAAUCUUUUGAGAGGAAUACUAGAAAACAGAAAAUUUUCCCUGUUCACUUUUUCAUGUUUGCCAUUCAAUUUGUAUUAGUUUUGGAUAUGGAGUGGAUGAAACUCUUAUACAAGGAGAGAGAGUUUUAUUUGAUGAUGUCUGCAUAACAAUAUUUCUAUAGAAAGGAAUUCAAAGUGAGAGAGUUCUUGAAAAAAAGUGAUCAAUGGAUUCUGCCUUCUUAUUUAUUCUUUUCUUCUCUUCCAUGUUUCUGAGCAUCCAAGCUUUUCAAGCCAACUGCCUCAUUCUCAAGUGCGGGGAUGGUGCUCCUGAUAUUCGUUUUCCUUUCCGGCUAUCAGGCCGGCAGCCCCAUCACUGUGGUCGCCCUGCUUUUGAACUUUCUUGCAAAGACAACACCACCAUGAUUCGCUUUCCAAGUUACGGAGAAUUGGUUGUGAAAUCCAUCUCCUACGAUGUCAGAAAACUCCAUCUUCUUGAUCCCAAGAACUGUGUUCAUCAAGUGUUUCUUAAUCUUAAUCUCUCUCACACUCCAUUCAGAUAUUACUAUGUUAUCAAGAACUACACAUACCUCAAUUGUUCAACUAGGCUUCCACCUUCUUUUUCAGAGGUUACAUGCUUAAGUGAUUCUAGGCAUCACGUUUACACCGUAGAAUCUUCUUUGCUCCUGCCAGAAUCCUGUAGGCCAGUGAAAACUGUUGCCAUUCCAUUUUCAUAUAGUCCUUAUCUUGCUGAUAACAGUUUUGGCCUCGGGUUGACUUGGAGCUCUCCUGGACCUGAUGAAGAUUGUGAAGCAAAAGGAGGUCAGUGCAAACUCCAAACAGGAUAUUCCACCACAAAACCGGAAAAAGGCUUUCCAAUCAAGUACUUGAAUUUAGGUGAUAUCUCUUCCAAGUUCUUGAUGGUUCUGUUAUGUAUCUUGGCAGUGGUACUGCUAAUAAGCAUAAAGAUGUAUCAUUCAAAGAAAGUGGAUAUGCAGCUUGAAAAUGAGAAUCUGCUUGAGGUUUUGAGAUGCUACAAAGCUCAAGAAAACAUGUAAUUAUGAAGAAGUAUCAUGUAAACAGAGGAGAGAAAUCCACUUGUAAUUAUCCCUCACAAAAAUAACAAAAAAUGCAUACAAGUAGGAGGGGUAUUGUCGUUGGUAUCUUUUAAGGCAGGUUUGCCCCAUUCUGUGUUUAGCAGCAAAAUGGAAGGGGAAUAACCUGGAAUAAAAAUUUUGUACUUAGAACUAUGUAAUUCUAUUCCAUUUGGGUUUUAACUUUUUUUCCUCUUAAUUAUUAAAAAA